This 10362-nucleotide long non-coding RNA is filed under the name Zostera marina. RNAcentral's name for it is "long non-coding RNA (ZMAR_LNC001704)". The record is from RNAcentral. Lineage: Eukaryota; Viridiplantae; Streptophyta; Magnoliopsida; Alismatales; Zosteraceae.
CUCCAAGCUUCCAAGCUUUUAAAUGCUCAAGUGUCAUAACUUUCCAAAGCUUCAAAAACUCUCCAACUUCUUCUUCUAAUCUUCUUGUUCAUCUCUACAAGUAAGAAGUGUUGUUUGCUUAAAUAUUCCACUCCUCUAAUCACCUCUUGUGUGUGUCCACUUUGGUUGAGAGGGUUGUCUCAAUAGUACCAAAGUGUGAGAGAAGGUUUUUGAGCUCAACCAUAAAACUCUAGUUUGGUUUUAUAGAGUUUCCGGGAAAACUCUUAGGUCGAAUCUACCUUGAAAGAUUUCUAGGUUUUUAAGAGUUCCUUGAUACUCUAAUGCACUAACUUACCCGUAAAAGUUAGAGGUUCUUAAGAGUGCCCUCAAUACUCUAAGGUGUGAGUCUACCCGUAAAAGACUGGUUCCUAAGCGAAGUAGCCUUAAAGCUUAGAGAGGUUUUUAAGAGUUCCUUGAUACUCUAAGGUACUAACUUACCCGCAAAAGUUAGAGGUUCUUAAGAGUGCCCUUGAUACUCUAAGGUGUGAGUCUACCCGUAAAAGACUAGUUCCUAAGCGAAGUUAGCUUUAAAGCUUAAAGAGGUUCUUAAGAGUUUCAUUGAUACUCUAAGGUUUUGCCAUAACCUUUAGGCUAGUGAAUUCUGAUAGUUGGUCGGGACUGGAUUAGCCCUUGUUUGGAUGAACCAGUAUAAACUCUCUUAUGUUGUUCUUUGUUAACUUUAGUUUUUAUCUUUCAUCUAAAAACAACUAAACAACACUUAAUUGAAAAUGAUCCCUCUUCCAGUUAUCUGGUCAAAUACAGAGGUUGACUACUUUACGCAGAUCCCUCAUCCAGUUAUCUGGUCAACUGUCUGAGGUUAUAUUCAUUGCUUUAAAUCUUUAUUCAUAUAUUUGUUCAAGCAUUUACUUAUCAUAUAUAUAUUCAGUUAUCUGGUCAUAUCUUGCUUAUCAAAUAUAUAUCCAGUUAUCUGGUCAUUUACUUUAUAAUAUAACUUGUGUUUAUAAUAUAACUUAAUAUUCAUAUACUACAGUUGUUUAUAAAACACUAUCUAAAAGUUAACUUUGUACUCAUAUACUGAAGUAAACUUUAAGAGAAAAAGACAAAUCCAAUAUAUAAUAUUAUAAGAUAUAAUAUUAUACAGAAAAAAUCAGGUACGGUUAGUGUCGUUCCCAUCCAACAGUGCGGUACCACACUCCACCACCUUCCGAUUUGGUAUCCACGGUAGUGUCGUUCCCAUACAAUCUUCGGCACUCGCGAUUACAGGUCCGACAUCGCGGAACUCAUCUUCGGAACUGCAAUCUAGGGUCCGACAGGCACGGAACCCAUCUUUGGAACUCGCGAUGGUCGGACUCGCGGAACCCAUCUUCGGAACUGCAAUCCCAUGUCGGAACUGCAAUCUUCGGAACUCGCGAUUGCAAGUCCGACAUCGCGGAACCCAUCUUCGGAAUUGCAAUCCGCCACACGUUGAAGGAAUUUCAGCCGACGUGAAGCGAAGAUUGCAUUGUUCCGGGAAAAGAAAAUCUCCACUGAUUCUCCACCCACGGUUGUGCAUCCGAUAACCAGUGACGACGUCCUCUGUUACCGAACCGUGGUCUUCGACGGCUGACACCACCGUCCUCUGUUAUCGCGGAACCACAUCGCGGAACUGUCGGAACUGCAAUCUUCGACGGCUGACACCACCCACGGUUGUGCAUCCGAUAACCAGUGACGACGUCCUCUGUUACCGAACCGUAGAUCCAUCCGACACGGUCUCCCCACUCUGUUUUAUCCUCAUACCAGCAUGAUAUGACCGAAACAGCUUCGGCACGGUCGGCGCGACAAGUGACUGCCGGUUAAUAAUCAGUGCGCCAGGUGGUCUGCCGUUUCUUAUGGAAGGAUGAUCGGCCAGUGGUCUUCCUUGAUACUCACAGAUAGGAAUGGACUCCAAAAGCGCCAUUGAUUUCCCGAACUUGUUUGGUAAAUCCAACUCCGGCGGGACAUUCAAAAGUCUUUUCUCUGGAUCCUCUCCUUCCUUCAUCGCCUUCACCUCCAUUGCCGGGUUCUUGUACUGCCCAUAAAAUCCGGUGUAUUCAAUCGCACGCGGUGGCGUAACGGUCGGAAGGGUCGAUACCUUCGAAUCGUUGCGGGAAUUGGAUGUAACAGAUCCGAUCACCUCCGCGAUCCAUCAUAUAACACAUACCCAUCUUCGGAACUCGCGAUGGUCGGACUCGCGGAACCCAUCUACGGAACUGCAAUCCCAUGUCGGAACUGCAAUCUUCGGAACUCGCGAUUGCAAGUCCGACAUCGCGGAACCCAUCUUCGGAAUUGCAAUCCCAUGUCGGAACUGCAAUCCCAGGUCCGACAGGCACGGAACCCAUCUUCGGAACUCGCGAUUGCCGGACUCGCGGAACCCAUCUUCGGAACUGCAAUCCAGGCACGGAACCCAUCGCGGAACCACAUCGCGGAACUGUCGGAACUGCAAUCUUCGACGGCUGACACCACAAACGGACGGUCGAGAACGCUCGCUCAGAUGGACGGCCGGAUCUGCCGUCCGCACGGAGGAACGUUGGAACGCAUAGCCGUUCCAGAAAUCUACCCUAAUAUUAUAUUCCUUAAAAUUAUAUAAUAGUAUUAUAUUGCUAACAAUAUUAUACUAUUAUUAUUAUACAACUAUUUGUGUACUUAAGUGUGUGCAGGUAAUUCCGCUAUUAAUCUGCACAAAUCGAAAAGAGGCUAUUAUCCCCCCUUAUAGCCUCAGAUCACGAUUCAACAAGUGGUAUCAGAGCAAAGUACCGUUGAAAUUAGACUAACAUCUUACAACAAUAACUAUAGCACCAAAUGGUGUAUUCAACACUGGUCUUGCGUCAAACAAACCUCCCAGGUUCGAUGGAGUAAAGUAUGACUUCUGGAAGAACAAGAUGAAGUUAUAAUUGAAGUCAAUCAACAAUGGAGUAUGGAAGAUCAUAUUAGAGGAUUAUGAAAUCCCAACAAGCAAUGAAGAUACUUGGGGUGAAAUGGACAUCCUCAAGGAAAACAACAACUCAAGAGCAUUAAAUGCUCUAUGUGGAGCACUCAAUGAAUCUGAGUACAUCAGAAUUCGAUGCUUGGAUGCAGCUCACAAGGUAUGGAAAGCAUUGGAGGAUCUACAUGAAGGAACCUCCCAUGUUAAAGAAAACAAGUUGUUACAUGCUACCUCUUAGUUCGAAAGAUUCUCUAUGAGGGAAGGCGAGACUAUCGCAGAAAUGAACAUUAGACUAUCACAAAUAGUUAAUGAUCUGGCUGGACUAGGAGAUCCAGUAACUGAGAAAAAGCAAGUAAGCAAAAUUCUGAGGAGCCUUCCAAACAAGUACUACUCCAAGAGGAAUGCUAUCCAAGAGGCUCAUGAUCUCAAUAAACUUACAGUUGUGGAACUCUGUGGAAAUCUGAUGGCUUAUGAAGAAGAAAGAUUCAUCUCUAGAGCUAAAGAAGAAGAAAAGGAUAUUGCCCUUAAAAGUCAAUCUGACAAUGAAACAUCAGAAGAUGAUCUAGCAAUGAUCACCAAUCAUCUGAGAAGAUAUCUGAAAAAGAGAAAAGAGAAGAAAGACUCAAGGUCAAGUCAUCAGAAGUUCGACAGAAGAAUGAGCAAGGAGUCAAAAGAACCAAUCUGUUAUCUAUGCGACAAGUCUGGACACAUCAAACCGGAAUGUCCUCUGCUUAAGAAAGAAAAAGCAAAUCAGACACAAUGGACAGACUCCGACUCGGAUCAAGAAGAUUGUCUCAUGGCUCAUGAAAGCAACUCUGAGGAAAAACAUGUGUCAAAAUGGUUGUUCGACAGUGGAUGCACAAGGCACAUGACUGGAGAUUCAAGUCUUUUGACAGACUUGACCGACUGGCCUACUACUAAGAAGGUCAAGUUCGCCGAUAACAACGAAGGUACCAUUAUAGGUAGGGGUAAUAUAGGUAAUAUAGAUAGACCAUUUCUUAGAGAUGUUUACUUAGUUAAUGGUCUUAAACAUAAUCUUAUCAGCAUAAGCCAAUUAUGUGAUAAUGAUUGCAUAGUUAAAUUUAAAAAACAUCUAUGCUCAAUCAUUAACUCCAAGGGAGUUAUAAUUGCUAAAAGAUAUAGGAAAAGCAAUGCUUAUUCCGUAACCUUUAAUCCCUCCAAGCCAACUCAUGACUUCUGCAUGAUUGCAGCAAGUGAUGAAAAGACUUUAUGGCAUUGAAGGUUAGGUCACACCAGUUAUUCUCGAUUAUCCAAACUAUCAAAAGAAGAACUGGUGACUGGACUGCCUAAAAUAGCAUAUGAGAAAAGUAAUCUCUGUGAUGCUUGUCAAAAAGGGAAACAGCAUAAAAGCUCAUUCAAAUCCCUUACAGAUAUUACUACGUCCAGACCUUUGGAACUUCUACACAUGGACUUAUUUGGGCCAACCCAAACCCAAAGUCUUGGCGGAAAAAGGUUCACGUAUGUAAUAGUAGAUGAUUACUCAAGAUUUACUUGGGUUUUCUUCUUACGAAAUAAAAGUGACUCAUUCAACGAGUUCUCAUCAUUUUGUACACGUUUAUAAAAUGAGAAGGAUAUCCUCAUAAAAAGAAUCAUAAGUGAUCAUGGAGGGGAAUUCGAGAACUCUGAGUUUGAAUUUUUUUGCAAAACUCAUGGAAUAAAACACGAAUUUACUUUUCCCCAAGCACUCCCUCAGAAUGGAGUUGUUGAAAGGAAAAACAGAACUCUACAAGAGAUGAGUAGAUCCAUGUUACAAGAACAUGAUUCACCACAGUAUCUCUGGGCAGAAGCUGUUAACACAGUCUGUUAUAUAUUAAACAAGGUGAUUGUUAGAAAAACCUUGAACAAAACUCCAUAUGAGAUCUGGAAUGGAGGAAAACCAAAAGUUUCUUAUUUCAAGGUCUUUGGAUGCAAAUGUUAUGUUCUCCGAACAAGAGGCAACCAAGACAAAUUUGCUCAGAAAUCUGAUGAAGGUAUCCUGGUAGGAUACUCUAGAAGGAGUAAAGCCUACAAAAUUCUUCUCAAAGAAAAACAAAUAAUGAUCGAAUCAUUACACGUUGACUUUAAUGAAUCCACUCAGACAACCAUUGUAGAAGAAGAUGAAAUAGUUCCAGAACCAGAAAUCAUAAUUCCAAUUGAAGAAACUACCAAUGUCGAAAUCGAAGUCUUUGAGCCUCCAUCCAACAGGUUGCUCAGAAACCCACAUUCCACUGAUCAAAUCAUUGGUGACCAUCAAGCUGGUGUUAAAACCAGAUCAUCCAUUCAAGGAAACAGUGUUCUUGACUGUUUUGUCUCUCAAAUUGAGCCCAAGAAAGUUGAUGAAGCCCUCGAUGACAACUACUGGAUUCAAGCUAUGCAAGAAGAACUCAACCAAUUUGAGAAAAAUGAUGUAUGGGAACUAGUUCCAAAACCAAAGAUACAUCAAUAAUUGGGACAAGAUGAGUAUUCAGAAACAAGCUGGAUGAAGAUGGAACUAUAGUCAGAAACAAAGCUAGACUGGUUGCGCAAGGAUACAAUCAACAAGAAGGAAUUGAUUAUGAUGAAACCUUUGCACCAGUAGCUAGACUAGAGUCUAUCAGAAUGCUCCUAUCCUUUGCAUGCUACAAGGAUUUCAAAUUAUAUCAAAUGGAUGUAAAGAGUGCAUUCUUGAAUGGAAUAGUCAAUGAACAAGUAUAUGUUAGACAACCCCCCGGAUUCGAAGAUUACAAAAACCCUGAUCAUGCCCUUAAACUUAAGAAAGCCCUCUAUGGUCUGAAACAAGCACCCCGAGCUUGGUAUGAAAGACUAAGAAACUUUCUCAUUUCUCAAGAAUUUAGAAUGGGGAGUAUAGAUAAUACAUUGUUCAUUAAAAAUGUCAAAAGUGACAUUAUUCUAAUCCAAAUCUAUGUUGAUGACAUUAUAUUUGGAUCAACCGAUGAUACUAUAUGUAAGAAAUUUUCCAAACAAAUGGAAGACGAAUUUGAAAUGAGUAUGAUGAGAGAGUUGACUUUUUUCUUAGGUCUACAAGUCAAACAGAAGGAGAAUGAAAUAUUCCUAAGUCAAGUCAAAUAUGCUAAGGAAUUGAUAAUGAAAUUUGACUUGGCUGAAUCUAAAUCUAUGCCAACUUCGAUGAGUUCAACACUUAAAUUGGAUAAAGAUGUUGAAGGUCAAUCAGUAGACAUUAAGAAAUACAGAGGAAUGAUUGGAUCACUGCUAUACCUAACAGCCAGCAGAUCAGACAUCAUGUUUGCAGUCUGCUUAUGUGCCAGAUUCCAAUCAGACCCAAAAGAGUCACAUCUCAAAGCGGUUAAAAGAAUAAUCAGGUAUAUCAAAGGAACAAUUAUACUUGGAUUAUUCUACCCUAAGGACAACUCAUUCACACUGACAGCAUACUGUGAUGCUGACUUUGGUGGAUGUAAGACUGACAGAAAAAGCACUAGUGGAACAUGCUUUUUGUUAGGAAGCUCACUCGUAGCAUGGUCAUGUAAAAAGCAAAAUAGUAUUUCUUUAUCCACAACUGAAGCAGAAUAUAUGGCAGCAUCUAAUGCAUGCACUCAAAUUUUGUGGAUGAAACAAACAUUAUCCGACUACGAUAUAGCUUUAGAAAUAAUAGCUCUUAAAUGUGACAACAAGAGUGCAAUUUGUUUAUCAAAAAACUCUGUGUUACAUUCAAGAUCUAAACACAUUGAUGUCAGACAUCAUUUUCUUAGAGAUCAUGUAGAAAAGAAAAAUAUCUGCCUAGAAUAUAUUUCUACUGAAGAUUAAAUGGCUGACAUCUUCACUAAACCCUUAGAUCAAGAAGUUCAUUCAAAAAUCAGAAGAUCUAUGGGUAUAUGUGACUAUGUGAGCUUAGUGAAAUUUGAUUAGUUAUGAGUUAAUGCAUCUCAAGCUUUAGUCUUAAUAUUCUUCACUUGAAUAUCUUUAUACUUAUAACCUUGAUCAUGAGCAUGAAUUUACAAAUUUAAGAUUUACAUGACUAAGUAUAUACAUAUCAUCAUAUGCAUGCGUGAAGAGCUUAACUUGAAUGCAUGACUAUCGUAUAUACCAUGUUACUAUAAAUUACAUGCAUGCUUACACUUGAACGCUAUUAAUACAUUGCAUGCUACUAUAAAUAGUUGCUUACAUGGACAUGCUUAUCACUCACAUGCAUAAUCUACAAGUGAACAAACGAUGUGUAUACAAUGAAAAUUAUAAUCUUAUGAAAUGUUUAUGCCAAAAUAUGCCAUGUCUUCACUACUGUUUAAAUUGACUCAUGCAUAUGACAUGUCAUCACUUACAUGUAUGGAAAAAUUAUGAAAUUAAUCUUAUGUUGCACCUAUACUGCAUUAUGUCAUAUCUUAAAAAUAAUAUAUUGAGCAAAGUCAAUAAUAUCACAUGGUAUUGGUAACCAAAUUUUAUUUGUCAAAUCUUGGUAAGCCAAACCCUUGUCUGCAUAUUCCUGCAAUCUCGAUGCCACCAACACUUGCGACGUCCAACACCUCGCAAGGAGUGUUGGCAGAAGACCAUCCUGCGCCUGCACACGUCACUUUACUUGCAGAAGCUGAAAAUCGUCGGUUGCAGAAGCUAGGAGCAUGGAUUAUCAUGAAUUGUGUAAGGAAUGCGUUGAACACCACAAAAGGUAUGAUCUAAAAAUAUUUAUCUAGAUAGAUAGGUUAAAACAAAUCUGAAUUUAGAUCUGGUAAACUAAAUCUUUGGAUGAAUCUCAAUGAUGAGAUUCACCAAGUAGGGUCUAUGGGUUAUUAAAAAUCAAACCCUAACGCUGCUAACUUUUCAAAAGUUAGACGUGAUCAAUCAUGGUGUUGUGUAAUCAUGUGUUUUGAUUAGCUUGCUAUGCCUACUCGAUGUCAUCUGAUUUAGAUGUUCCUUUUUGGUUUGAUCGAUGGUGUUCAAACACCACUAUAACAUCUGUUAGAUAGAUGUUUCUACUUUGUUUAAGUCUGUUUUGUUUAAAGGUCUAACCAUAGACCUAAGCUUGCUUUAUUUUUAGUGAAAAACUUCAAUGAAAAAUCAAUUUCUCACUAAGUAUUAAAGACUUAAGAGUAGAUAUGAUUCUCAAAUAGUUCAUUAUCAAGAAUCAUCAAAAAUCCAACCAUUAAAUAAAUAUGAUUAACUCAAUAUCUUCAAUAUCUUUUAGAGAUUCAAAUAUUUAAGGGUUGCAUGGAUAAACUAGAAACUUCAAAGGCCUAAACAUAAAUUAUUUAUGAAGUUUCUAAAUUUAAAAUGAUUCACUAAAACUUAAGGGUCAAAAUGAUAUCUUUACAGUGAAUAUAAAUUUAUGUAAAACUUCAGGGACUUAGAAUUAAUAUUUACAUGAAGUUUUAAUCGAAAAAUUGCUUAGAAUUAUUUAAUACUUCCAAGGUUUAAAAUGAAAUUUUUUUAUGUAUUAAUCUAAGUAUUUAUCAUAAGUUCAAAGGGCUUAAAUGAAAUUUUUAAGUGAAGUUUUAUUACUACUUUAAGGACUAAAAUGAAAUUUUUAAAUCUUCUGAAACUUAGUGAAUAUUUACAUGAUUAUAUGUGUCACUAAGACAUGGAUUUUAAAACCUUUUUCUUAAAGUAAUAUAGUGAAUAUCAAUAUCAUAUCACACACAUGUCAUGAUUCACUAAAACAUGAAAAUCAACAAAACUUCAAAUGCUUAAAUAAUACUUUUUCGAAGUAAGGAAAUUUAGUGAAUAUACAUGCUUAUUUAUAUGUCACUAAUUUUAUGGAUUAUAACAUUAUAAAAUCUUUAAUCCAUAUAUGUUAAGAUCAUCUUCAUCCAUAACACACACAUGGAUUAUUAUUCAUUGCAUGAUCUUAACACAAGGCAAUUUAAAUUAUUAUAUCAUAUUUGCCUUAUAAUGUAUAUCAAAAUUGGCUUCAAUCCAAUAUUUUAUCAAUGAACAUAAAUUGCAUGUUAUUUCUCCUAUAUGAUUGACUAACACUCUUAUAAGCAAGACAUCACAUUUGGUCAACCAAACAAAUCGAAUUUGUGAUCAAAGCUGAAUAAGGUAUGAAGUUUUAUUUUCUUCACAAAUUAGAGAUGUCCUAUCAUUAAGGGGGAGAUACUUCACAGGUAUAUCUAUUUUAACUUUGUCGAUACCUUAUUGUUUUAAGGGGGAGAAAUCAUGCAUGAUCCACUGCUUUUAAAUUGAAUAUUAUGAGUCAAUAAUUCAAGGGGAGCAUGCUCAUAAGGGUAAAAUAGAAUAUUGACUAAACAUGAAUUAAAACAUAUAUGUCAUCGACAAAGGGGGAGAAUGUAGAAUCAAAAUUGUCGACAUAGGAUUAUAUUUUGAUCAUGUCAAUUUAAACCCUAAUUACACUAUUAAUCAAUAGGGGUUAAAUAAGUCAAUCGAUAUUAAACCUAACUCCAGUUAAUUAAUUAAUCAUUUAAGUUAAGAGUUUAAGUCAAAGUUAAAAGUCAAAUUGGGAUAAUUGCAUUUUUACCUUGAAUAUUAUUAUUUGGAAUAAUUGCAUUUUUACCUUGAAUAUUAUUAUUAUUAUCUUUUGACACUUUAGUUAAGGUAUAAUAUUCCAAGGGGACAAUACACUAUUCAAGUUUGAAUUUAUACAAAGAUAAGAUUCUCCAACAAACUCUAUCCAAGAAAAGCACUAUUCAAGAUAAGAUCAAAGACAAAACUUGGAUUUUUGUGAGAAAUCAAGGAGCCAUCCAUUGAAAAUCCAAUGGUGGACAUUGAGUGGUCAAGGCUAUAAAUAGAAGGGUAAUCCCCUCAUUUUCACUUACCACACUACAAGCAAACUCAAGAGCUUUCACUCCACACCUGCCCAUACGUUUUUGCCUCCAAGCUGCUCAACUNNNNNNNNNNNNNNNNNNNNNNNNNNNNNNNNNNNNNNNNNNNNNNNNNNNNNNNNNNNNNNNNNNNNNNNNNNNNNNNNNNNNNNNNNNNNNNNNNNNNCUCAUGUCAUAACUUUCCAAAGCUUCAAAAACUCUCCAACUUCUUCUUCUAAUCUUCUUGUUCAUCUCUACAAGUAAGAAGUGUUGUUUGCUUAAAUAUUCCACUCCUCUAAUCACCUCUUGUGUGUGUCCACUUUGGUUGAGAGGGUUGUCUCAAUAGUACCAAAGUGUGAGAGAAGGUUUUUGAGCUCAACCAUAAAACUCUAGUUUGGUUUUAUAGAGUUUCCGGGAAAACUCUUAGGUCGAAUCUACCUUGAAAGAUUUCUAGGUUUUUAAGAGUUCCUUGAUACUCUAAUGCACUAACUUACCCGUAAAAGUUAGAGGUUCUUAAGAGUGCCCUCAAUACUCUAAGGUGUGAGUCUACCCGUAAAAGACUGGUUCCUAAGCGAAGUAGCCUUAAAGCUUAGAGAGGUUUUUAAGAGUUCCUUGAUACUCUAAGGUACUAACUUACCCGCAAAAGUUAGAGGUUCUUAAGAGUGCCCUUGAUACUCUAAGGUGUGAGUCUACCCGUAAAAGACUAGUUCCUAAGCG